GAUGAACGCUGGCGGCGUGCCUAAUACAUGCAAGUCGAGCGAACAGACGAGGAGCUUGCUCCUCUGACGUUAGCGGCGGACGGGUGAGUAACACGUGGAUAACCUACCUAUAAUACUGGGAUAACUUCGGGAAACCGGAGCUAAUACCGGAUAAUAUAUUGAACCGCAUGGUUCAAUAGUGAAAGACGGUUUUGCUGUCACUUAUAGAUGGAUCCGCGCCGCAUUAGCUAGUUGGUAAGGUAACGGCUUACCAAGGCAACGAUGCGUAGCCGACCUGAGAGGGUGAUCGGCCACACUGGAACUGAGACACGGUCCAGACUCCUACGGGAGGCAGCAGUAGGGAAUCUUCCGCAGUGGGCGAAAGCCUGACGGAGCGACGCCGCGUGAGUGAUGAAGGUCUUCGGAUCGUAAAACUCUGUUAUUAGGGAAGAACAAAUGUGUAAGUAACUAUGCACGUCUUGACGGUACCUAAUCAGAAAGCCACGGCUAACUACGUG
RNAcentral lists this ribosomal RNA (497 nucleotides) under uncultured bacterium. RNAcentral describes it as "partial 16S ribosomal RNA". It matches the Rfam family "Bacterial small subunit ribosomal RNA", at positions 28 to 507 of the family's 1533-position model. The record is from RNAcentral.